CGAAUGCAGUCUUUCCUCAGGCUAGCCUACAAUGCGUUACCUUAGUGCGGCAAAAUUGUUUACACUGGGCAUUUCAAAUUUCCAAACUUCAUCUACUUUUCAAAAACCAAGAUUCAUGAGGCAUGAAGAUGCUUUCAAGCGUCUAAAUAAAGAGUAUGCGAGCCUAUUUAAUGGGAGCAAACCUUCGUUCUAUCGACAUCACGUGGGCGAAUGACGAGUCACGUCGAACUUUCAAAUUGGAGGCAUGAAUCUAAAUGAGUGCGUUACACGCGAACCUUCUUGAUGGAUGGAACUUCAUUGCGGAUUGUGCAGCAUGCAAUUCAUGAUAAGAAACCAGCCUUACCUCAAGGACAGGACCUCCACAUUGACGAGUUUCCUUAAAACGGUGAUAUCGGUUAAUUCGGCUCCCCUGCGAAGAAAAUCGAAUGAUCACUACUUAGAAGACAGGGGCAUGCUAAUUCUAUCGAACUAUUUCCAAGUGCAAUGAGUUUGGUUUCCGGCAUUUGGAACAAGUUCAAACAUCAAACGGGAAUGACUGUGUGGGCGCUCAUCUGGAAAAUUGUGGCUCAUCCACUUUAUACUCGUACAUACAUACAUUGGCGAGUCAUGGGGAUAAUUGGGAAUUGAUGAUUUUAGCUUCGCUUGUA
This is a long non-coding RNA of Tigriopus californicus, 647 nucleotides long. RefSeq lists it as uncharacterized. The record is from RefSeq and is a predicted model, not a curated record. Lineage: Eukaryota; Metazoa; Arthropoda; Copepoda; Harpacticoida; Harpacticidae. The transcript has 2 exons.